CUUCUGUAAUACUUUCUCCUUCUCCGCUCUUUCCUUCUCUGCUCUUUCCUCUUUUCUUCCGAGCGAAAAUCUCUCCCUGCAAUAACAUCGGCGUCUUCUCCGCGACAGUGGAAAUCUCUCCCGUGGUAACGUUGGCGUCUUCUACGGCCUUAUCAACGACAACGGAAAAUUCUCAAGGGCUAUUAAAAGGGGAUCUCAGGCAACUAUGAAGAACAAGAAAGAAAAGAAAAACAAGAUCAAAGUUUCGUAGUAAACUUUGGUGCCGGCUUUCUCGGGGGGUUCUCACCGCUAGGCGUAGUUGCAUCAAAUCGUCUUUGCGAAGGCGGCGACUAUUGUUCUAGGGAAGUGAUCACACAAUUACCCCUUCUCAGGCCUGCAUUUUCUAACCCUCUUUCGAAAUUUUUUGAUUAUUUGCAGUGUGUUUUCUAACAUGUAGAUGCGUGGAUGUGUAUUUUUCCUUCGAUUCAUCCUUGUCUAGCUUUUUCUUAUAGCCUUCCUCUCUUUUUUAAGAAGUAAUGAAUAUUUCUUUAACUAUGUAACUUAUCAUCUGUAGAAGAUUCCAAAGUGUCGUAAACUGCUGGCUGUUGGUGUAGUGAGCGAGCACAUUUACUGUUAGUAGAAAUUUCAUGAAUAAUUUUGCUAGCUGCUAAUUUCUUUUUAUUGCCUUAAUUUGGUACCAUCUUUCACUUUACGUACUAUAUGAUCGUAUAUAGAUUAUUAUGCUAACUAUUGCUUUUUUAUGCCUUCAAGAAGAUUUCUUGCAUUUUCCACUGAUUUCAGGCUCCUGGUCGUUGCUAACUUGUUUACAUCGUAUGACUGAGAAGCUGUUUCCAACGCACAUAAUGAAAUUAAACCGGAGGAAGCUUCUAACACUAACUUGCUGAUUACUCAGUAGAGUGUUUCCACGUUACAGUCUUGGCGUAUAGAUAUUAGUAUUGCUGUUUUUUUCACCUGAUUUUGAUUAGACGAGCAGAAAGAGACAAACACCCGAUUCUUCAUGCUUCUACAAAAAAGUUGGAUAUCAUUCGACAAGUACCAUUGCUAACUUAAAUUGUUAAAGAUGUGAACCUGCGUUAAUUUGUUUAUAACAGAAUAUAAUCUUCAUACUUCCCAACUCAAGCUUUGUUACAAAUAAUGGAUACAUCUCUUGUUAAGAUUGUUGGAUGCUAUUUGUUACAUAAUGUCAAAUUUUCUUUCAAGAUUA
Molecule: long non-coding RNA, 1204 nt
Organism: Asparagus officinalis (garden asparagus)
Lineage: Eukaryota; Viridiplantae; Streptophyta; Magnoliopsida; Asparagales; Asparagaceae
Exons: 2
Source: RefSeq, a predicted model, not a curated record